CUGGCCUCCUGCUGGGGGCCUGAGUCCUGCCUGCUGGAGAAUUUCCCCGAUCCCCCGGGACCACGCUCAGGAGGAGAGGGAUGGGGGCUGCCAGAGCCAAGCCCUCUCUUGGUCCCAGGGCAGGGACAGGGACUUGGAGGUACCCACUCCAGGGAGAAAAGGGGCUGCCUUCUCAUGGGUCCCUGGUGACCAGGGGCAUGGUGGCAGCUUGCUGGUGGAGGGACAUGGACCAGGUUGGGGAGGGCCAGGGCUGGGGCCCAGGCUGGGCAGUAUCUGGAAUCAUCUGGCCCCUGGAGCCUCAGCAAAGCCUUGGGGUCCCUGCUCCUCUCAAUCCCCAGAGCCGAGUCCAUGUGAGGCGGGUUCAGAAGGGCCAGGGUGAGAGAACACGGCCCUGAGCCUGGUCAUUGGAGCGGGGUCACGGGUACCUGGUU
Non-coding RNA from Ceratotherium simum simum (southern white rhinoceros), 431 nucleotides. The record is from RefSeq and is a predicted model, not a curated record. NCBI's taxonomy places the organism in Eukaryota, Metazoa, Chordata, Mammalia, Perissodactyla, Rhinocerotidae.